This 97-nucleotide ribosomal RNA is filed under the name Actinomycetota bacterium. RNAcentral describes it as "Actinobacteria bacterium partial 16S ribosomal RNA". It matches the Rfam family "Bacterial small subunit ribosomal RNA", at positions 1 to 97 of the family's 1533-position model. Lineage: Bacteria; Bacillati; Actinomycetota. The record is from RNAcentral.
UUCUAUGGAGAGUUUGAUCCUGGCUCAGGACGAACGCUGGCGGCGUGCUUAACACAUGCAAGUCGAGCGAUGAAACUACUUCGGUAGUGAAUUAGCG